ACCGUUAAGCAGUGGCAAUAUCGUAACCAAUGAAGGUCUCCUGAGGUACGAUUAUUGGCUAGUUGAAAACUUUUACACG
This 79-nucleotide small nuclear RNA is filed under the name Rhodnius prolixus. Its description in RNAcentral is "U4 spliceosomal RNA". It matches the Rfam family "U4 spliceosomal RNA", at positions 1 to 77 of the family's 138-position model. Rfam says of the family: U4 small nuclear RNA (U4 snRNA) is a component of the major U2-dependent spliceosome. The structure of U4 snRNA from yeast and human has been reported. U4 snRNA presents a k-turn RNA motif in the 5p-SL related to recognition of Snu13 protein. Lineage: Eukaryota; Metazoa; Arthropoda; Insecta; Hemiptera; Reduviidae. The record is from Rfam by way of RNAcentral.